GGUUGCUGGGCCUGUGUGCUCAGGGCAGUCUCUCCAAAGGCACAGAUGGGGUUUCUGAACAGGACCUGGGGAGACAGGCAGGUGCUCACAAAUGCUGCUUCCCCCAACUGGCAACCAGUGAGAAAAAUGCCUGAGUGGAGGUCUGACCUGCCCCAGUCUGGAGGACUGAUGCUCUCUGGAAAGCCAAAUGGGAACAGGCAGGCAGGAGAGUGUCUCAUCUCGAAAGAAGUGGCUCCUGGAAGCAGCUGGGAGGCCUUUUUUCCACGUGCCAGCUACAGGCCCAGGUUUCCCGAGUUUCUGGAGCCCCUCUUCCAGCCUGGCAAGCAAGGUGUGUCGUAGGGGAAGGACAUCAAGCCUACAGGCAGCAGAGUAUGUUCUCUACCCCUGGAGGCCCCUGGUUGUUUACCUCUUUGGGUGAGAGUCGGGUUAGGAUCUCAACAUUCUUGUAGGACUUCAGAACUGUACAGACAGGGGCCCAGGAGGGAACAGGGGCUGGGACUGGCAGCUAACCAGAGUGGUGGGGGUUGUAGGGCUCAGUUUGGUCUUGCAGGGAAUUCAGGGAGGCUUGGAUUUGCUGAAGCUCUAGAUGAGCUUGGGCUUGGAUAUGGAAAC
RNAcentral lists this long non-coding RNA (612 nucleotides) under Pan troglodytes (chimpanzee). RNAcentral's name for it is "lncRNA (ENSPTRG00000053800.1)". Lineage: Eukaryota; Metazoa; Chordata; Mammalia; Primates; Hominidae. The record is from RNAcentral.